Molecule: small RNA, 514 nt
Filed under: Olea europaea subsp. europaea
Lineage: Eukaryota; Viridiplantae; Streptophyta; Magnoliopsida; Lamiales; Oleaceae
Source: RNAcentral
UAUUUUUCUCUCUUCUAUUUUCAACAAUACAAUCUUUCAUACGAUAAUAUUACACGUAAAUCGAAAAAUUUUCCUUCUUUUUCAACCACUCAUUUUUCAAAAAAAUACUAUUCCACCCAUUAAUUUUUCCAUGUAAUGGCAGCCAAACAGGAGCUUAUUAUAUGGAUAUAUGAUUGAACAUGAGUAUGUAAAGGGGGGGAAAAUGAAGAGAGAGUUUGAAAAUAAAAAUUGUCAAGCAAGGGCUAAGUCUAGGACAUAAAAUGAAUUACCGUUAUUAAUUAAGGUUAAGAUUGAUAGCUGAAUAAUAUAAAAUUAGUAAAAUUAAAAGGAGAAUUUGAAAGGCUACAAUUUUGUCGCUUAUCAUUUUUUUCUGAUGCUGUGUAUUUUCAAGAAUUAUUUUUUUAUAUAUAACAACUGAAAUAACUAAUGAUUCUCGGACAAUUAGAAAUUGAUCUACAAAAAUAAUUCUAAAUUGAAUCUAAAAGCUUGUCCGAAAAGUGCUUGUGAAUGAUUU